UCUUUGGUGAUUUACCUAUCUUGCUCUUUAUAGCUCCCUUCUUUAUGUUCUUCCUCGUAGGUUGUGAGCUUGAAGCAGGCUGAUUACUCUACAUAGUAGACAAACUUGGUGUGGGAUUAGGUUGAGAUCUUGAAGUUGUUGUAGCAUUAACAGUCCCUUGACUUGACUGUGUUGUAGUCUGUAGCUUUGGUGGCCUGGGAUUUGGCUGAAAAGGUAAUCAUUCCAGUUAUCACACACAACCAUUCCAGUUAUCCAAAUGCAUUCCAAUUAAACCCAAUAAUCUAUUAUAUUGUACCUUAACAGGAAUCUGUUGGACAUUAGUUGUAGUCCCUUCAGUGGACUGAUGUAGUCUGGUAGGAAUGUCUGACUAUGUUGACUGUGCAGUUGACUGAUGUUGUUUGUUAGUUGUCUGAAAAUGAAAAUAUGUUAAACUGUUAUAAACCAUGUGUUAAAAAAUACAAUUGAUAGUAUGAAAUGAAAACAUAAAGUAUAUACCUUGUUCAUUCUUGAUUUAGGGAUGAAAAGGCAAUGUACAUGUCUGUUGUUAUGCCCUAGUGUUAAACACCUUGCACAUGUGACAGUGCCACCUUUUCUUGUUCCAGGGUUGAACUGUUUGACAGUAUCCACAUAAUCCAUCAGCCUGUGAUACUGCUCUCCUACAUCACCAUGCAUAUGUUGUAAAGCCUUUCUUUUAGCUUUAUAUAGGGAUGAUUUACUUAGACUAGAGUUACAUUCUUUUUGUGCCUUCUUCUUCCAUGCCUGCAAAUCCUACUUAGGAUUAUCUCUCAAGUCAUGCAUAUAUUUUUUGGCCAAGUAUCUACUGUCACCAAG
Molecule: long non-coding RNA, 831 nt
Filed under: Panax ginseng (ginseng)
Lineage: Eukaryota; Viridiplantae; Streptophyta; Magnoliopsida; Apiales; Araliaceae
Description: long non-coding RNA (PGIN_LNC017003)
Source: RNAcentral